RNAcentral lists this long non-coding RNA (541 nucleotides) under Olea europaea (common olive). RNAcentral's name for it is "long non-coding RNA (OEUR_LNC015469)". The record is from RNAcentral. Lineage: Eukaryota; Viridiplantae; Streptophyta; Magnoliopsida; Lamiales; Oleaceae.
UGACAGUGUGUUCAUUUCGUAGGGAGGAAUACGUGGAGUAGCUACAAGUUGGCUACGUGGAAGAGCCAUUUUUAGAGGUCAACAUACAUGUCUACAACCGGACGUGCUAAAUCUUUUGAAAAGAGUAAGUAAUGCAGAAGCAAUCUGAAGAAACGCUAAAUUAUAUCCAGCCUUUGGCCUCAAUUUUUCGCUUAAUGCAUCUGUAAUUAAAAAUUUCAAAACCCCACAUUCACCCUAAAAAAACAUAUAAUAAAAAAAUCUAAAAGAGAUAAGAGAUAAAGCUUACAGGCAAGCAGAUUCUUAGAAAUUGAGCGUAUAUUACACACGACUGAGCUUAUCUUACAUACGAUUGACCGAUUGAAGUCGAGCAGAGUGUGUAGAGACCGUGAGAGACGUAGAGAGCGCGAGAGAGAUGAGAUGGGGAGAAGGUUUGGGUUUGGAGAAUUGGGCUGGGUUAAUGGGUUAUAAUUUUUUCGUUUUGGGUUUCAUUUUUUUUUCCAUUUUGGGCUUAAACUAUAAGGAUGCGGGCGGUAAACAAUUU